Molecule: transfer RNA, 72 nt
Filed under: Ictidomys tridecemlineatus (thirteen-lined ground squirrel)
Lineage: Eukaryota; Metazoa; Chordata; Mammalia; Rodentia; Sciuridae
Description: Spermophilus tridecemlineatus (thirteen-lined ground squirrel) tRNA
Rfam family: tRNA
About the family: Transfer RNA (tRNA) molecules are approximately 80 nucleotides in length. Their secondary structure includes four short double-helical elements and three loops (D, anti-codon, and T loops).
Source: Rfam by way of RNAcentral
CGGGUUGUGGCUCAGUGGUAGAGCCCUUGCCUAGCAAGUGUGAGGCACUGGGUUCAAUCCCCGGCACCACAU